AUGCAAGUCGAACGGCAGCACGGGAGCUUGCUCCUGGUGGCGAGUGGCGAACGGGUGAGUAAAGCAUCGGAACGUGCCCUGAAGUGGGGGAUAACGUAGCGAAAGUUACGCUAAUACCGCAUAUUCUGUGAGCAGGAAAGCAGGGGAUCUUCGGACCUUGUGCUUUAGGAGCGGCCGAUGUCGGAUUAGCUAGUUGGUGAGGUAAAGGCUCACCAAGGCGACGAUCCGUAGCGGGUCUGAGAGGAUGAUCCGCCACACUGGGACUGAGACACGGCCCAGACUCCUACGGGAGGCAGCAGUGGGGAAUUUUGGACAAUGGGCGCAAGCCUGAUCCAGCCAUGCCGCGUGAGUGAAGAAGGCCUUCGGGUUGUAAAGCUCUUUCGGCGGGGAAGAAAUGGCGCUUGUUAAUACCGAGCGUUGAUGACGGUACCCGCAUAAGAAGCACCGGCUAACUACGUGCCAGCAGCCGCGGUAAUACGUAGGGUGCGAGCGUUAAUCGGAAUUACUGGGCGUAAAGCGUGCGCAGGCGGUUGUGUAAGUCAGAUGUGAAAUCCCCGGGCUCAACCUGGGAACUGCAUUUGAGACUGCACGGCUAGAGUGUGACAGAGGGGGGUAGAAUUCCACGUGUAGCAGUGAAAUGCGUAGAGAUGUGGAGGAAUACCGAUGGCGAAGGCAGCCCCCUGGGUUCUACUGACGCUCAU
RNAcentral lists this ribosomal RNA (701 nucleotides) under uncultured bacterium. RNAcentral's name for it is "bacterial SSU rRNA". It matches the Rfam family "Bacterial small subunit ribosomal RNA", at positions 55 to 750 of the family's 1533-position model. The record is from RNAcentral.